RNAcentral lists this unclassified non-coding RNA (253 nucleotides) under uncultured Acidobacteriota bacterium. RNAcentral's name for it is "uncultured Acidobacteria bacterium contains 16S-23S intergenic spacer region". It matches the Rfam family "Bacterial small subunit ribosomal RNA", at positions 524 to 776 of the family's 1533-position model. Lineage: Bacteria; Pseudomonadati; Acidobacteriota. The record is from RNAcentral.
UACGGGGGGGGCAAGCGUUGUUCGGAAUUACUGGGCGUAAAGGGCUCGUAGACGGCCAACUAAGUCAGAUGUGAAAUCCCCAGGCUCAACCUGGGAACUGCAUGUGAUACUGGUUGGCUUGAAUUCGGGAGAGGGAUGCAGAAUUCCAGGAGUAGCGGUGAAAUGCGUAGAUAUCUGGAGGAAUACCGGUGGCGAAGGCGGCAUCCUGGACAAAGACUGGCGCUCAGGUGCGAAAGCGUGGGGAGCAAACAGG